ACGAACGCUGGCGGCAUGCCUAACACAUGCAAGUCGAACGAAGGCUUCGGCCUUAGUGGCGCACGGGUGCGUAACGCGUGGGAACCUGCCCCUCGGUUCGGAAUAACACAGAGAAAUUUGUGCUAAUACCGGAUGAUGACUUCGGUCCAAAGAUUUAUCGCCGAGGGAUGGGCCCGCGUAGGAUUAGCUUGUUGGUGGGGUAAUGGCCUACCAAGGCGACGAUCCUUAGCUGGUCUGAGAGGAUGAUCAGCCACACUGGGACUGAGACACGGCCCAGACUCCUACGGGAGGCAGCAGUGGGGAAUAUUGGACAAUGGGCGAAAGCCUGAUCCAGCAAUGCCGCGUGAGUGAUGAAGGCCUUAGGGUUGUAAAGCUCUUUUACCAGGGAUGAUAAUGACAGUACCUGGAGAAUAAGCUCCGGCUAACUCCGU
RNAcentral lists this ribosomal RNA (431 nucleotides) under uncultured bacterium. Its description in RNAcentral is "bacterial SSU rRNA". It matches the Rfam family "Bacterial small subunit ribosomal RNA", at positions 29 to 506 of the family's 1533-position model. The record is from RNAcentral.